AGGGUGGCAGCUCAGUGGUAGAGCCUCUGCUCUGCAUGUAGAAGGUCUCAGGUUCAGUCCUUGGCACCACUA
This is a non-coding RNA of Podarcis lilfordi (Lilford's wall lizard), 72 nucleotides long. The record is from the annotation of a GenBank genome assembly. NCBI's taxonomy places the organism in Eukaryota, Metazoa, Chordata, Lepidosauria, Squamata, Lacertidae.